This 433-nucleotide ribosomal RNA is filed under the name uncultured bacterium. RNAcentral describes it as "partial 16S ribosomal RNA". It matches the Rfam family "Bacterial small subunit ribosomal RNA", at positions 29 to 507 of the family's 1533-position model. The record is from RNAcentral.
AACGAACGCUGGCGGCAUGCCUAACACAUGCAAGUCGAACGAGACCUUCGGGUCUAGUGGCGCGCGGGUGCGUAACGCGUGGGAAUCUGCCCUUGGGUUCGGAAUAACAGUUGGAAACGACUGCUAAUACCGGAUGAUGACGUAAGUCCAAAGAUUUAUCGCCCAGGGAUGAGCCCGCGUAGGAUUAGCUAGUUGGUGGGGUAAAGGCCUACCAAGGCGACGAUCCUUAGCUGGUCUGAGAGGAUGAUCAGCCACACUGGGACUGAGACACGGCCCAGACUCCUACGGGAGGCAGCAGUGGGGAAUAUUGGACAAUGGGCGAAAGCCUGAUCCAGCAAUGCCGCGUGAGUGAUGAAGGCCUUAGGGUUGUAAAGCUCUUUUACCCGGGAUGAUAAUGACAGUACCGGGAGAAUAAGCCCCGGCUAACUCCGUG